This 1195-nucleotide long non-coding RNA is filed under the name Capra hircus (goat). RNAcentral's name for it is "lncRNA (ENSCHIG00000005657.1)". The record is from RNAcentral. Lineage: Eukaryota; Metazoa; Chordata; Mammalia; Artiodactyla; Bovidae.
AUGGAUCUGAGAACGCUGUCUGGGCUUGGUGCCAAGUGCUGGUAUUUCACAGCAGCGACCGCCUCACAGACGGGCUGUGGGAAGCAGGAGGGAGACUCUCUUAGGGUGCCACUACUAUGGAGACACAGCUGGGCUGAACAAGAUUUGCUUCAAACGACAACAAGAGAGACAGAAAGUAUCUGGUUCAACCGCUGCCCAAGCAGGCAGGCACCAGAAGAGCUAGCAGCCAAUCCGGCCAUGCUCGAAGCCAGCUCUGCAGCUCAGCCAAUCAGUGACAUCACUGCAUCAAGAUCUUUUCCAGUGAAUCAGUUCUUCCCAUCAGGUGGCCAAAGUAUUGGAGCUUCAGCUUCAGCAUCAGUCCUUCCAAUGAGUAUUCACAUACAAUACAAAACAAGCUAUUUUAAUGUGAAAUAACUGUCCUUUUAUCAGCUUCAAAGAUUUCAGAGCCAUUAUUAUAACAGCCCUACAUAUUAUUUGGAGGGUGGCCUUGAGCUAGGAGCUAGAAAGCCUGAGUUACGGUCAUGAAUCUGGCAUGCACUCCUUAUAUUAUCUUUGGCAUCACGUCUUCUGGAAGAGAUCAUUAGUUCUCAUCAAAUAUCCAUGUGCUCACCAACAUUUUCUGGCAUCCCCUGUGCUGAGGUUGGAGUCAUGUCCCAGGGAUGAUUGUCACUUCCAAUCUGAGGGAGUUAAGUUAACCUGGAUAAGUCUUCAAUGAUCUAUGUCUGCAAAGCAGUAAAAAAAAAAAAAAAAAAAGGAGUCCAAAUGGGACAGCUGCAAGAUGGAAGCAAAGAGAUCUCUGAGUUGUAAAAGCAGAAAAAAGCCACUUGCUCUUUAUGACAUGAGCAAGGAGUAAAUCUUUGUUGUGUCAAGCCACUCCAAACUGGGAGUCAUUUGUUACCAUAGCACAGCUUCCCCUCUGCUGAUUAGUAUCUCUCUGGGAGUCAUUGAAAACAGAGGGGUUUGGAGAUUUCUAGACUCAAUCUGUCCCAGAUUGAAUUCUUGAGAUUCUUUUGGGACAUAUGGCCUUCAUUUUACAAGAGAAGGAAUGGAGAAGUUUGGAGAGAACUGACUAAGGUCACAAAGUAAGUUUGGGGCUGUAUUGCAAAAUGUAUUUCUCUGAAAUCCUGUGGAUUCAUAUUUCCCAGCUAUAUUUCCCCACUACCUGUAGCUUAACUAUGGGACCAUUCAAAUCGGU